UAGAGCAUCUGACUGUUAAUCAGAGGGUCCUUGGUUCGAGCCCAAGAGGGGGAG
Molecule: transfer RNA, 54 nt
Filed under: Sinomicrobium oceani
Lineage: Bacteria; Pseudomonadati; Bacteroidota; Flavobacteriia; Flavobacteriales; Flavobacteriaceae
Rfam family: tRNA
About the family: Transfer RNA (tRNA) molecules are approximately 80 nucleotides in length.
Source: Rfam by way of RNAcentral